UACGUAGGCAGCAAGCGUUGUUCGGAGUUACUGGGCGUAAAGGGUGUGUAGGCGGUUUUUUAAGUUUGGUGUGAAAUCUCCCGGCUCAACUGGGAGGGUGCGCCGAAUACUGAAAGACUAGAGUGCGGGAGAGGAAAGUGGAAUUCCUGGUGUAGCGGUGAAAUGCGUAGAUAUCAGGAGGAACACCGGUGGUGUAGACGGCUUUCUGGACCGUAACUGACGCUGAGACACGAAAGCGCGGGGAGCGAACAGG
This 253-nucleotide ribosomal RNA is filed under the name uncultured bacterium. Its description in RNAcentral is "partial 16S ribosomal RNA". It matches the Rfam family "Bacterial small subunit ribosomal RNA", at positions 524 to 776 of the family's 1533-position model. The record is from RNAcentral.